AUCAGCUGCAGAUAACAAAAAAAAAACAUUAGACGUGCAUGAGCAGGCAGACCUAAUUAGCUGAGCCCAGAUUCGAUUUCCUGGCUAACGAGAUCACUGAAGAUGAAGCCAAGACCAUUAGUGUCACUUACUCAUUUUGCCACUAGAUGGUGCAAGCCCAGGUGAAUCAAACUGGGUCAUGUGACAAAGGUCGCUCGUUCAGAUAAGAUUUAUUAGCGGCCUGGCUAAUAAGUGCUAGCAUACCUUGAUAGCGAGCUAAUAAAUGUUCACCAUGUGUGCAA
This is a long non-coding RNA of Hippocampus comes (tiger tail seahorse), 281 nucleotides long. RefSeq lists it as uncharacterized. The record is from RefSeq and is a predicted model, not a curated record. The transcript is spliced from 3 exons. NCBI's taxonomy places the organism in Eukaryota, Metazoa, Chordata, Actinopteri, Syngnathiformes, Syngnathidae.